UUGGUGGGGUAAUGGCCUACCAAGGCGACGACGGGUAGCCGGCCUGAGAGGGCGACCGGCCACACUGGGACUGAGACACGGCCCAGACUCCUACGGGAGGCAGCAGUGGGGAAUAUUGCACAAUGGGCGAAAGCCUGAUGCAGCGACGCCGCGUGAGGGAUGACGGCCUUCGGGUUGUAAACCUCUUUCAGCAGGGAAGAAGCGAAAGUGACGGUACCUGCAGAAGAAGCGCCGGCUAACUACGUGCCAGCAGCCGCGGUAAUACGUAGGGCGCAAGCGUUGUCCGGAAUUAUUGGGCGUAAAGAGCUCGUAGGCGGCUUGUCACGUCGGGUGUGAAAGCCCGGGGCUUAACCCCGGGUCUGCAUCCGAUACGGGCAGGCUAGAGUGUGGUAGGGGAGAUCGGAAUUCCUGGUGUAGCGGUGAAAUGCGCAGAUAUCAGGAGGAACACCGGUGGCGAAGGCGGAUCUCUGGGCCAUUACUGACGCUGAGGAGCGAAAGCGUGGGGAGCGAACAGGAUUAGAUACCCUGGUAGUCCACGCCGUAAACGUUGGGAACUAGGUGUUGGCGACAUUCC
Molecule: ribosomal RNA, 574 nt
Filed under: Streptomyces sp. Pd-E-(l)-m-D-9(2)
Lineage: Bacteria; Bacillati; Actinomycetota; Actinomycetes; Kitasatosporales; Streptomycetaceae
Description: bacterial SSU rRNA
Rfam family: Bacterial small subunit ribosomal RNA
Source: RNAcentral